Molecule: ribosomal RNA, 516 nt
Filed under: Triticum aestivum (bread wheat)
Lineage: Eukaryota; Viridiplantae; Streptophyta; Magnoliopsida; Poales; Poaceae
Description: partial small subunit ribosomal RNA
Source: RNAcentral
AUGUCUGGACGUGAGGUCCGUGAGUAUACCAAUCUCAGCGAUCCUAAAGAUAGGAAGUCAGGGAAGGGGAAGGACAAGAUCGAUGAUGAGGACGUCACCUUUCAGCGCAUGGUUGCAAAGAUGCAGGAUGUUGCCGGUGAGAGGGGAGGCUACCUUCAUGGACGAGGAGCAUUGGACAGUGAUGAUUUGCUUUACCUCAAAGAGCAAAUGGAGGCCGAGGAAGAUGCAGAGCGUCUUCUUCGCCGUACAGAGAAGCGGGCAUUUGCUGCUUUUAAGAAAGCAGCGACUUUAGCUGAUUCUGCACCUGCUCUACCCGCCGCUCUUUGUGUCGACGCCAGGCCAAAAAGCGACAUAAGGCAACGGGAUCUCUUGAAGAACAUUGUUGGGAUCAAACCGAAGCGACCCAAGGUUUGCAGCUCUCCGCAAGCGGCAGAGAACGACGGACCUAAGCUGAACCAGGAAGUUUCUGUCAGCAAAAGCCAGCUGAAGCAACGGAGUCUAGGCCACAAAAUGUGA